Molecule: ribosomal RNA, 513 nt
Filed under: uncultured bacterium
Lineage: Bacteria
Description: partial 16S ribosomal RNA
Rfam family: Bacterial small subunit ribosomal RNA
Source: RNAcentral
GAUGAACGCUGGCGGCGUGCCUAAUACAUGCAAGUCGAGCGAACCUCUAAGGAGCUUGCUCCUUUGACGUUAGCGGCGGACGGGUGAGUAACACGUGGGUAACCUACCUAUAAGACUGGGAUAACUUCGGGAAACCGGAGCUAAUACCGGAUAAUAUUUCGAACCGCAUGGUUCGAUAGUGAAAGAUGGUUUUGCUAUCACUUAUAGAUGGACCCGCGCCGUAUUAGCUAGUUGGUAAGGUAACGGCUUACCAAGGCGACGAUACGUAGCCGAGCUGAGAGGGGGAGCGGCCACACUAGAACUGGGACACGAGCCAGACUCCUACGGGAGGCAGCAGUAGAGAAUCUUCCGCAAUGGGCGAAAGCCUGACGGAGCAACGCCGCGUGAGUGAGGAAGGUCUUCGGAUCGUAAAACUCUGUUAUUAGGGAAGAACAUACGUGUAGGUAACUGUGCACGUCUUGACGGUACCUAAUCAGAAAGCCACGGCUAACUACGUGCCAGCCGCCGCCGUAA